AUUGAACGCUGGCGGAAUGCUUUACACAUGCAAGUCGAACGGCAGCACGGGAGCUUGCUCCUGGUGGCGAGUGGCGGACGGGUGAGUAAUAUAUCGGAACGUAUCUAUUAAUGGGGGAUAACUAGCCGAAAGGUUAGCUAAUACCGCAUACGCCCUGAGGGGGAAAGCUGGGGAUCUUCGGACCUGGCGUUAAUAGGGCGGCCGAUACCUGAUUAGCUAGUUGGUGGGGUAAAGGCCUACCAAGGCGACGAUCAGUAGCUGGUCUGAGAGGACGACCAGCCACACUGGGACUGAGACACGGCCCAGACUCCUACGGGAGGCAGCAGUGGGGAAUUUUGGACAAUGGGGGCAACCCUGAUCCAGCCAUUCCGCGUGAGUGAAGAAGGCCUUCGGGUUGUAAAGCUCUUUCGCAAGGGAAGAAACGAUAUAAGUGAAUAGCUUAUGUUAAUGACGGUAC
Molecule: ribosomal RNA, 457 nt
Filed under: uncultured bacterium
Lineage: Bacteria
Description: bacterial SSU rRNA
Rfam family: Bacterial small subunit ribosomal RNA
Source: RNAcentral